AGCAUUUAUAUGGACAAAGACUAACAGACACGUGCAAAAAAUAAAUCUUCUUUUGCAACCCUGAGCUCAUUGUUCAGUAAGAAUGUUGAUACAUAUAAGAAGGACUAUU
This 109-nucleotide small nucleolar RNA is filed under the name Carlito syrichta (Philippine tarsier). RNAcentral's name for it is "Small nucleolar RNA SNORA40 (ENSTSYG00000024893.2)". It matches the Rfam family "Small nucleolar RNA SNORA40", at positions 22 to 128 of the family's 128-position model. From Rfam's summary of the family: The snoRNA ACA 40 belongs to the H/ACA family of snoRNAs and guides the pseudouridylation of 28S rRNA subunit at position U4565. The record is from Rfam by way of RNAcentral. Lineage: Eukaryota; Metazoa; Chordata; Mammalia; Primates; Tarsiidae.